Passer montanus (Eurasian tree sparrow) is the source of this 69-nucleotide small nucleolar RNA. RefSeq annotates it as small nucleolar RNA SNORD63. The record is from RefSeq and is a predicted model, not a curated record. NCBI's taxonomy places the organism in Eukaryota, Metazoa, Chordata, Aves, Passeriformes, Passeridae. The transcript has a single exon.
GUGCCAUGAUGUUAAACUGUCAACACAUCAUUCUGAAGAAUCGUGUGGAGACUUAGUGAACUGAGCCCA